CCUACGGGCGGCAGCAGUGGGGAAUAUUGGACAAUGGGGGCAACCCUGAUCCAGCCAUGCCGCGUGUGUGAAGAAGGCCCUCGGGUUGUAAAGCACUUUCAGUGAGGAAGAACGCCUGGUGGUUAAUACCCAUCAGGAAAGACAUCACUCACAGAAGAAGCACCGGCUAACUCCGUGCCAGCAGCCGCGGUAAUACGGAGGGUGCGAGCGUUAAUCGGAAUUACUGGGCGUAAAGCGCGCGUAGGUGGCUUGAUAAGCCGGUUGUGAAAGCCCCGGGCUCAACCUGGGAACGGCAUCCGGAACUGUCAAGCUAGAGUGCAGGAGAGGAAGGUAGAAUUCCCGGUGUAGCGGUGAAAUGCGUAGAGAUCGGGAGGAAUACCAGUGGCGAAGGCGGCCUUCUGGACUGACACUGACACUGAGGUGCGAAAUCGUGGGUAGCAAACAGGAUUAGAUACCCCUGUAGUC
Molecule: ribosomal RNA, 465 nt
Filed under: Vreelandella stevensii
Lineage: Bacteria; Pseudomonadati; Pseudomonadota; Gammaproteobacteria; Oceanospirillales; Halomonadaceae
Description: partial 16S ribosomal RNA
Rfam family: Bacterial small subunit ribosomal RNA
Source: RNAcentral